This is a long non-coding RNA of Thalassophryne amazonica, 383 nucleotides long. RefSeq lists it as uncharacterized. The record is from RefSeq and is a predicted model, not a curated record. Lineage: Eukaryota; Metazoa; Chordata; Actinopteri; Batrachoidiformes; Batrachoididae. The transcript is spliced from 3 exons.
CUUUGUCAUUCAUAUUUUCAGAUAACAUCAGGGCCUCCACAGUGACGUGGAAGAAAUCAACAGUGGUGACUCCAACCCAGGACAUUUUAUGGCCAAAUGUGUUUGGUGCUGCUGCCGUCAUGGUGAUUGUUCUCAUAAUAGUAAUCAUAUGCAUCGCCUUACUGUUACGGCGCAAAGGAGAAUCCAGGAACAGUGCAGCUCUGAGUCUCCGUCCACUCUGAGGACAGAACCUCUAUUCCCAGCAGACCUUUCCACGCAGGGAGCAACUCUAUGAAAAUUAUGUCACUCAUGCUUAAAAACAAAACCACAUACCAUAUUUUCCUGAGCAUAAAUUGUUUAUUUCUUUAUUUUUUAUUAGUGUUGGGGGCCCUGUGGCUUAUACU